CGGCCGCCGCGGCUCGAAGGCCGUGGGGACCCCAGGCCCCAGCGGAAAAGAAAGAGAAGAGAGAAGAGAGGGCGUCAGCGAGGGCCGGGGCGCGGGCGGCCGGCACAGAGAGAGAAACAACAGCCUCACACCCAAAUCGGUUCAAUUGGCUUUGGCGGAGACUACGCGGGCCGGGCCCGCCCGCCAGCCGGCCAGCGCCUGCGCUUUAAGCGGGCUGCGGCUCGGAUGCCCUGGGCACCCCACGCGCGGGCUCUGUGACUCUGGGUUUUGGUCUUUUUGUUUCGUCUUAAGAAACCAAACGGAACAGAAAGGAAAGGAAAUUGAAAAGAAACGGAAUUUUUUUUCUACUGGUUUAAGGCUUUAAAAACAUACAACAGCAGCAUUUAAACAAACCUAACAACAAUAUCUUUUAGGGUUUUUUAUAUAUAUUUCUUUUUGCUUUUUUUUUUUUUGCUUUUGUUUUUAAAAAAGAAGAUAGCAUACCACGGAAUUCAGGCAACUUACAUCAACAA
Molecule: long non-coding RNA, 512 nt
Filed under: Mus caroli (Ryukyu mouse)
Lineage: Eukaryota; Metazoa; Chordata; Mammalia; Rodentia; Muridae
Description: predicted gene 14964 (MGP_CAROLIEiJ_G0003087.1)
Source: RNAcentral